RNAcentral lists this transfer RNA (78 nucleotides) under Hippoglossus stenolepis (Pacific halibut). RNAcentral describes it as "tRNA-Val". It matches the Rfam family "tRNA". From Rfam's summary of the family: Transfer RNA (tRNA) molecules are approximately 80 nucleotides in length. Their secondary structure includes four short double-helical elements and three loops (D, anti-codon, and T loops). Further hydrogen bonds mediate the characteristic L-shaped molecular structure. tRNAs have two regions of fundamental functional importance: the anti-codon, which is responsible for specific mRNA codon recognition, and the 3' end, to which the tRNAs corresponding amino acid is attached (by aminoacyl-tRNA synthetases). tRNAs cope with the degeneracy of the genetic code in two manners: having more than one tRNA (with a specific anti-codon) for a particular amino acid; and 'wobble' base-pairing, i.e. permitting non-standard base-pairing at the 3rd anti-codon position. Lineage: Eukaryota; Metazoa; Chordata; Actinopteri; Pleuronectiformes; Pleuronectidae. The record is from RNAcentral.
GGUUUCAUAGUGUAGUGGUUACGUCAUCACGUCUGCUUUACACGCAGAAAGUCCUGGGUUCAAUCCCCAGUGAAACCU